AUUUGUGGACGCGGAGAAAGCCUUUGACAAUAUUUCUUGGAAUUUUAUGAAGAAAAAUCUGCAGGGGAUGGGGGUAGGCCAAAGUUUUGAAAAUGGUAUAGGUGCAAUUUAUUCAGAACAAAAAGCUAAGCUGAUUGUAAAUAAUGUAGUUACAGAAGAAUUUAAGAUAGAGAAAGGAACAAGACAGGGUUGCCCAAUCUCCCCAUUGCUUUUUAUUUCGGUCCUGGAGGUUUUGCUCAAUAUGAUUAGGAAAGACCAAUUGGUUAAAGGUAUACAACUCGGAGCUAAACAGUACAAAUUGAAAGCUUUUGCUGAUGACUUAGUUUUGACACUACAGGAGCCAGAAUUCAGUACAAAAGAGUAUUGCAAUUAAUUCAAGAAUUUGGUCAAGUAGCAGGUUUUAAAUUGAAUAAGAUGAAAACUAAGGUAUUAGAGAAAAAUCUUACAGAGAUUGAAAAAGAGAGGUUUCAGAAGGAGACAGGACUAACAUUAGUUAAUAAAGUGAAAUAUUUAGGGGUGCAUAUGACUGCUAAAAAUGUGAAUUUGUUCAAAGACAACUAUGAAAAAUGUUGGUUAGAAGUAAAGAAGGAUUUGGAAAUAUGGUCAAAAUUGAGGUUAUCAUUGUUGGGCCGAAUUGCUGCGAUAAAGAUGAAUGUAUUGCCUAGAAUGUUGUUUUUGUUUCAAACAUUGCAAAUUGUGGACAAAAUGGACUGCUUCAAGAGGUGGCAAAGAGAUAUUUCUAAAUUUAUCUGGCAGGGCAAAAAGCCUAGAAUAAAAUUUAAGAUAUUAACAGACGCAAAGGAAAGAGGUGGAUUUGCCCUGCCAGAUCUCAAACUUUAUUAUGAAUCAGCCGCAUUUUGCUGGCUGAAAGACUGGCUACUUCUUGAAAAUACGGACAUUUUGGACCUAGAAGGUUUUGAUAAUGUGUUUGGAUGGCAUGCAUAUUUAUGGUAUGACAAGGUUAAAGCGCAUAAGGCCUUUAAGAACCAUAUUGUCAGGAAAGCAUUGUUUAAUGUUUGGGUGAGAUAUAAGGAUUUG
Molecule: non-coding RNA, 1038 nt
Organism: Podarcis lilfordi (Lilford's wall lizard)
Lineage: Eukaryota; Metazoa; Chordata; Lepidosauria; Squamata; Lacertidae
Source: the annotation of a GenBank genome assembly